Molecule: ribosomal RNA, 253 nt
Filed under: uncultured bacterium
Lineage: Bacteria
Description: partial 16S ribosomal RNA
Rfam family: Bacterial small subunit ribosomal RNA
Source: RNAcentral
UACGAGGGAGCGCUAGCGUUGCUCGGAAUCACUGGGCGUAAAGGGUGCGUAGGCGGGUUCUAAGUCAGAGGUGAAAGCCUGGAGCUCAACUCCAGAACUGCCUUUGAUGCUGGAAGUCUUGAGUAUGGCAGAGGUGAGUGGAACUGCGAGUGUAGAGGUGAAAUUCGUAGAUAUUCGCAAGAACACCAGUGGCGAAGGCGGCUCACUGGGCCAUUACUGACGCUGAGGCACGAAAGCGUGGGGAGCAAACAGG